This is a long non-coding RNA of Camelina sativa (false flax), 728 nucleotides long. RefSeq lists it as uncharacterized. The record is from RefSeq and is a predicted model, not a curated record. Lineage: Eukaryota; Viridiplantae; Streptophyta; Magnoliopsida; Brassicales; Brassicaceae.
ACCACUCACUUAUCUCUUCCUCUCGAUCUCUCUCUCUGCCUCUCCCUUGAUCUUAGCCGGGUCUCGUGGGAGACAAACAGAGAGAGUGAGAGAUAUAUAAAAGAUAAUCACAAACCCUAGCUAUAGAUUGAGAUUCUUCUCUAAUCACGAUUCAAAGAAGGGGCUUUCUCUUUUGAGGGGGAUGUUGUCUGGCUCGAGGACUCUAGCUCGCUCUAUUCAUGUUUUGGGUCUUUUUCGAUCUAAUAUUUGAACCUCCAGAUUUUCAGAUCUGAUUUAGGGUUUUAGCGUCGUCGGACCAGGCUUCAUUCCCUCCAAUUGUUGUUCUUCAUGUUUCUCAAUUUUAGGGUUUCAGAUCCCAGUGACUGUUAAAGAUUGGUGUAAUGAUGAAAGAAUAUGACUUUCUUUCUUCUCUUGGAAUCUGAAAAGUUUCAUCAUUACAACCUUUUUCUACAUUUGUUUUACAUUUUUCCAUAUACCCUGCUAUGAUUUUGCUAUGAUUGUUUCUUUUCUUUUUUUGUCAGGAAAUUUAAGUUAUGAGGUUGGAUCUUCAUGGUCAUGAAUGGUGAUGGAAAAGAGAGUUUUUACGCCAUAUAUGUAAGGAAAUAUUCUGCAGUUGCUUUUGCAUGGGAAGAUUAAGAGCUUGAAUUUUAUCCUCUUUCUCCUUCUAAGUUGCUCUCACUGUAAAAUGUAUUUUAUUUAUAUGAAUCAGUCUCGGAUUUUACUUAGUA